CUGGUGCGAUAUUUCAACACAAUCACAGACUAAUGCUAAUAUUCUUGAACAAACAUAUGGUGCGAGCUGGAAUUCAACGCGCAAUAAUGUUCUUCCUUAUCAUAACAAUUAGUUAGAGAAGAUUUUAACGACAACACGAAAAAUUCUGAUUUCUAGCACACUUUGAACACAGAGAUAGUAAUAGAACAUCUCAAUACAAUUCGAAGAAAGAUGUUUGAUUCAAUCAUUCUGCUGGCUAGGUUCUUAUCUAGUUGAAAUCACUAAAGGAAACGAAUAUGAACCUGAAGCGAGCUUUCAAUUAACAUUUGAAAUAGUUAGUAGAGGUGCAAAUGAAUCUGGAUAUGCAAAUUCCAGCAGCGAGCCAAACAUUGAGCAGCGACUAAAAAGCUAACACGACAAGAACACAAUGGAACCUCGGAUAGAACCUUAACACAUCAAUCGAACUCCAUUUUCAGAACGAAAAUUCAAAGAACUAUAGCUCCAAUUUCAAGAUCAAUCACAAAAUCAAAGAAGAGAACAGAAUACAUAUUUUGUUUUAACUCUGCUUCCGUUCCCUCCUAUUUCUAUCCGUACUCCUAUGUUUCUCUUACUCUGUAUGUGUGUGUGGUUGCUAGUUUUCUGAGAUGAGGGAGAUAGAAAUGGGAACCAGAGGAAUAUGGGUGGUCAUUUGUGUGUUGUGUGUUGUUCACAGCGUGAGAGUGGUGGAGGGGUCAGUAGCGGUGGCUGUGAUUUUUCUGCUUAGGUCUUGCGUUCAUGAAGAUCAAGGUGAGGGUGCUGAACGUUGUCUCUAAUGUGUGUGUGAUGAGAGGAUUCUCAAUCCUUGUUUUUUGUUCUGCUCCAGAAGACAAAGGUCAGGGGGGUCCUGAUAUUGAACGGCGCCUCCGAUCUUUUCCUCAAUUCCACCCCCCUCUCGGAUUUCAGGUGUUACCUAUAUUGUAUAGGUCUAGGUUUAGGUUAUUUUUUUCUCUUU
This 970-nucleotide long non-coding RNA is filed under the name Nicotiana benthamiana. RNAcentral describes it as "long non-coding RNA (NBEN_LNC006088)". Lineage: Eukaryota; Viridiplantae; Streptophyta; Magnoliopsida; Solanales; Solanaceae. The record is from RNAcentral.